GCCAGUGAUGACAGUUUAUAAAAAUGGUUGACUGAUAAGCAACUUUAUAUACUUUGCUAGCUGUUGAAAAUCAUGAACUAGGACGGUCUGAGGC
This 94-nucleotide small nucleolar RNA is filed under the name Helianthus annuus (common sunflower). Its description in RNAcentral is "Small nucleolar RNA snoR20a". It matches the Rfam family "Small nucleolar RNA snoR20a". From Rfam's summary of the family: The O.sativum sequence was obtained from the plant snoRNA database. The record is from RNAcentral. Lineage: Eukaryota; Viridiplantae; Streptophyta; Magnoliopsida; Asterales; Asteraceae.